CCUACGGGUGGCAGCAGUGGGGAAUAUUGGACAAUGGGCGAAAGCCUGAUCCAGCCAUGCCGCGUGUGUGAAGAAGGCCUUCGGGUUGUAAAGCACUUUCAGUGGGGAAGAAAGCCUUGGGGCUAAUACCCUCGAGGAAGGACAUCACCCACAGAAGAAGCACCGGCUAACUCCGUGCCAGCAGCCGCGGUAAUACGGAGGGUGCGAGCGUUAAUCGGAAUUACUGGGCGUAAAGCGCGCGUAGGCGGUCUGAUAAGCCGGUUGUGAAAGCCCCGGGCUCAACCUGGGAACGGCAUCCGGAACUGUCAGGCUAGAGUGCAGGAGAGGAAGGUAGAAUUCCCGGUGUAUCGGUGAAAUGCGUAGAGAUCGGGAGGAAUACCAGUGGCGAAGGCGGCCUUCUGGACUGACACUGACGCUGAGGUGCGAAAGCGUGGGUAGCAAACAGGAUUAGAUACCCCGGUAGUC
RNAcentral lists this ribosomal RNA (465 nucleotides) under Vreelandella stevensii. Its description in RNAcentral is "partial 16S ribosomal RNA". It matches the Rfam family "Bacterial small subunit ribosomal RNA", at positions 338 to 795 of the family's 1533-position model. Lineage: Bacteria; Pseudomonadati; Pseudomonadota; Gammaproteobacteria; Oceanospirillales; Halomonadaceae. The record is from RNAcentral.